AAUUGUCAAUGGCGCUUCCCUAAACUGUAAACACAAGCCUUAUCCCCAUUUUCCCUCUGCCCUCUCGACGACAAUGGCGACGUUUACCGGUCUCUCCCUCCCUCCUAAAACCCUAACCCCUUCCUCCGCUUCGCGCCCGUCUUUUGCGGCGGCGCUCGCUCCCUCGCCGGCCCUCCGUUUCGGCUCCGGCGAGUCCGGAGUCUGGAGGCACCGCCGGGAGCUGCGGAGCGAGCCUCGCCGUCGGAGGUCGCUCGUCCUCGCGGCCGUCGAUGGGGAGUACUCGUCGAGGAGGAGCAGCAGCAGCGAGCCGAGGGAGACGAUCAUGCUCCCCGGGUGCGAUUACAAUCACUGGCUCAUCGUCAUGGAGUUCCCCAAGGACCCUGCCCCCACCCGGGAGCAGAUGAUCGACACUUACCUCAAUACUCUCGCCACUGUGCUCGGAAGCAUUGAGGAGGCCAAGAAGAAUAUGUAUGCAUUUAGUACCACAACCUAUACCGGGUUUCAGUGUACCGUGGAUGAAGCCACGUCUGAGAAAUUCAAAGGUCUGCCUGGGGUUCUGUGGGUACUCCCUGAUUCAUACAUAGAUGUGAAGAACAAGGAUUACGGAGGGGAUAAGUACAUUAAUGGAGAGAUCAUUCCUUGCCAAUAUCCCACUUACCAGCCAAAGCCUCGACAUAACCCUAGAAGCAAGAGUAAGAGGUAUGAAAGGCAGAGAGAUGGGCCACCACGUCAAAGGCCAAGACCUAAGCAGGAGGCAACCAGCACAGAGUCAUCAUCCGCAUGAGGUAAUGGAGCUUAUCAGACGUUGUCCCCAUGUUCAUUAAAUGACUUGGCGUGCAUGAAGUUUUUGAUUUCCAAUGGAUGGCCCGGCUAUAAUUUGUUAUGCAUCUUUCGUAGUCUUGAGCUGAUAAAAGAUGAUGUUCCAUCUGUGUAGCCUCGUACUAGAAGAUCCUUUUUGUGGAGCAAGUAUUGACAGAUGCUUGCUUUGCGAACUUAGAAGACAGUAGAAUGGUCCCAUCUAAUGAACAUGGCAUUUUGUUCUUGUGUUCCUCCUGUUUAGUGUGCACAGAGAUGGAAUGUCUUGUUAUUUCC
Rhodamnia argentea is the source of this 1092-nucleotide RNA transcript. It is a transcript of the gene named DAG protein, chloroplastic, with no coding region annotated. The record is from RefSeq and is a predicted model, not a curated record. Lineage: Eukaryota; Viridiplantae; Streptophyta; Magnoliopsida; Myrtales; Myrtaceae. The transcript has 5 exons.